CGGGGCCAGCCGAGGCCUGGGGUUGGCCUAACGCCUAAGGGCCCGAGGAGCUUGUUGGGACGUUCAGGAGACCCCGAGGUGGGAGGUUUUGGACACAACCCGCAUCUCCUCAGAGCGCCUUCGACUCUGGAGGCCGCCGUGUGACGGCCUGACACAGGGCUGCGUGGCUAAGACCUUCAGUACAGAUUAGAAUAAAAUGGAGAAAUUGAAGGUGAGAAUAUGCCCAAAGUUGCCUGAUGGAAGACGACUGUGCUUCCCUGUGAAGAAUGGAUUUCAGGGUGACAGUCCAGACACGUCAG
This 299-nucleotide long non-coding RNA is filed under the name Pan troglodytes (chimpanzee). Its description in RNAcentral is "long non-coding RNA NONPTRT015152". The record is from RNAcentral. Lineage: Eukaryota; Metazoa; Chordata; Mammalia; Primates; Hominidae.